Molecule: long non-coding RNA, 1146 nt
Filed under: Sus scrofa (pig)
Lineage: Eukaryota; Metazoa; Chordata; Mammalia; Artiodactyla; Suidae
Description: lncRNA (ENSSSCG00070030145.1)
Source: RNAcentral
AUCUUUCAUUGUUAGUAUAUAGUAAUGCAAUCGAUUUCUGCUUAUUAAUUUUGUAUCCCGUGACUUUGCCAAAUUCAUUGAUGAGCUCUAAUAGUUUUCUGGUAGUGUCUUUAGGAUUUUCUAGGUAUAGAAGCAUGUCAUCUGCAAACAGUGAUAAAUAAUUGUGUAGAAGUUAUUCCAUUUGUUAAAAAAAAAAAAAGGAAAGUAGUUGGGUAGUGAUUCUCAUCCCCGGCUGCUCAUUAGAAAUUAGAAUCAUCUAGAAGAUUGCCAAGUAUACAUGAUGGAGCCUUGUGCCCAGAUACCCUGAUUUACUUGAUCUGGGAUAGGGUCUGAGCACGUGUGUUUUUCUGUGUGUCUCACGUGAUUCUAUUGUGCAGCUGCGAUCAUAACCUCUGCUCUAGAUGGUCUCUUUGGGACUUUUGGAGCUGCCACAGAACCACAGAAUAAUAGUUACGAUUGGCGUUUUUAUAAGAGGAGGACACACACACACACACACACACACACACACACACACACACACACAGGAAGGACCAUGUGAAAACAAGACAGAAGAAGAGGGUAACCUGCAGGCCAAGGAGAGAAGCCUCAAAAAACAAAAAAAACCCCCCAAAACCAAAAAACCAACACCUCUGCCAACACCUUGAUGUUUGACUUCCAGACUCCAGAACUGUGAGCAAAUAAAAUUCUGUUGUUUAAAGCACUCAGUCUGUGGUGGUACCCUUUCAUGGCAACUAAAGCAGACUAAUUCAGAUCCCACUGUGAAUAUGUUCACUACAUUGUGUCUUGCCUCCCGUGUGAAGCCAGGGGAAGAAAUUCUUUUGGAACUGUUCUGGGAAAGUAAUUAUGGAUUGGUUCUCCUUUUUGCUUUGGCUGCCAGGAAAAUGGACGUCAAGCUUGAAACUAAACCAUAGCAGCCAUGUGAGACGUUAUGGUCUGGGUUUUUGUAUUCUUUCCCCCAUAUUAAUCAAUGAUUCUUACAUAUUUUUUUCUCUCAUUCUCCCUCUGAUUGCACAUUUCCCCAGUUACUGGAAAGAAUGGAAGUUAAAAAUAAAGCGGCUGGGAUCCAUAGAAGUUGAUGCUGCAGAGGGCAAGUCCCAGAGAGGACUUCAGCUCAGAGCAUCAACUGCCAACAUUUCUAGAAGAUAA